This 7426-nucleotide transfer RNA is filed under the name Cricetulus griseus (Chinese hamster). Its description in RNAcentral is "lncRNA (ENSCGRG00015035135.1)". The record is from RNAcentral. Lineage: Eukaryota; Metazoa; Chordata; Mammalia; Rodentia; Cricetidae.
CUAAAGAGCCCUGGUUUUCUUUAGUAGGGAGCAGUAUUGCAGAGCAGGAUCUGCUUGCUAGCGUGUGCACUGCAACUUGCCUCUGGAUUUAUCUACUAUAUCCUUUCAAACUAUUACUCUUCUGGGCAUUUGGUGGGACGACUGUGUACCUAUGGCCAUAGUGACGGAUGUUGCCAUUGCUCUCAACUUAUUUCUAUUCCAAGAAAGUCUCAGCGACUGCUCUGGUACACACUCCUUGAGUACCUGGAGCUGACUAGAAGUGGGAUUUCUUGGUUAUGAGUGUGAACAGUGCAAAGUCUGCUCAUCUUCACUGCGUGGAGGCAGCUGUGUUAAGUGUGUAGCUGUGAAGUUGGCCCUCCUAGGGUGGGAAGGCAUUUGGAAAGUAGGGGACUUCUUGGGGAAAGAACACUCUCUGGUUGUUUUGACGCAGUCUUAGGAGAGAGAAAAGGUACCAAAAGCCGAGAGCCAAAUCUGGACAAUGUUGAAUCCUUGGCUGGGAGAUCAGCACAUUUUUUAAGAGCUGACAGCCACCCCUGCACGCUGCAGUGUAGAAUUAAUGAAGACACAAGUAUAAGGAAGCCUCUAAUUGAAUGCAGCAUAGAGCAAGCAGAGUCGAACACACAGCAUUCCCAGCUGAAAUCCCACGUGUUGGCUUCUAACCCUCCUGGACGGCCGGCACAAGAAAAUAUUUCUGGGCUGUGUCUCGGGCAGCCUGUUCUAUCCGCGUGGCCAAAAGAGAACAAGCAUGGCCUGUCUCCUGGAUAGAGGCACUGGGUUAUCUGGAAUCCAAGAUUGCCUUUGGUAAAGCUCUUGUUGGGUUGGCUAAAAGGCAUGGCAUAGGAGAGAAAAGAAAGAACCCCAAGAAACAGAGGUGUUUGGGCAGGAGCCCUCUGCUAUAGUUCAUGUCUGUUACCAGUUCGUGUGUGACAGCUCUGGUUGGCUGGAGGUGGACAGCCCUUCUCCAUCACUCCGGGCAAGCUCCAUCAAUCCCCUGCUUGGUCUUGUACAUCCCUCGAUAUGCAGAUUCCCAUGUGAGGCAGAAUGGGAACACAUCUUCCUUUCAGAAUUCCUGGUUGGUGAUUCAUAGCAUGGUUAUCCAGCUGCUUUGUCUCCUGGGGCCAUCCCUGGGGAUGAUCCCCCCGCCCCCCCGCCCUACCACCAUGUUUGGUCCUUGCUGCUGUGUGACUUUCUGGUGGGGGGUGGGGUGGAAAUUGCUGAGUGGCCUACAACAGAUCUGAACCUGAGAUGACCAAAGGAAUCCUGGGUAUGUGCAUCACUGGGCCCCUUCAGCCAGCUGCUGCUGGAGCUGUUGAGUGCAGGCUGGCUUGACUCGGAUCCCCUGGGGUCAUUUCCACACAUUUCACAUGCCUUGUGUUUCCUGUGUCACCAAACCAUGCUAUUUAGUUGUAAAGGGUCUCCUCUGGCAGGUCAAGGCUGUGGACACCUCCUUUCAAAUCCCAGGUGCUGUGUUGGCUUGUGGAGACCCUGGCAGAUUUGUGCAGUGACCCUGACUCCUCAUGCCCCAUCCUUUUGGUUAAAGGCAUGCAGCUGCAUUGCUGCUUAAUGUGUGGGCAGUGCUCUACCGGCAGGAGGUAGUGGCACGGCUCAGAGAACGGGGCCAUGUGUACAGCCUAGCUCUGCCCUCAGCACCAGAGCUGCAGGGAAGUCCCUGGGUGUCUGCAGAGCAGGUGGCCUCCGUCUGAACACCCAGCUCUGUCAGCUGUUGAGAGCCCUAGUUGGAAGAAGCAUUCCAGGGACAUUCCUUCUGUCUGGAGCAGGGACUUGGCUUGAACCUUGAACCAAAAAAACCAGAACAAGCUGCACCAGUUUGCUCCACCUCAAAACAAAUGCUUUUUUUUUUUCCUUCCUUAAUAGCACUGAGAACAAAACCCAAGUUCUGGGGUUGGCGUGCUUUGUUUUCCCACUGGGGAACAGUUAGGAAACAAGACUAAACUGGUUCUUCUGACUGACUGAGAGGGGAGGAAGAGGGCCUCUGCACGGGCCUUGGGUUUACUCAGUUAGCUCCCAUGCAGGUUGAUACUAGAAGAUAUGGCAAGGUCUGUGGAGAUUGUAUGAGGGUAUCUGCAGGCUGGAGAGGCUGAGGAGGCUGAGGCUCUGACCUGGGCAACCUGUAUGGGGGAAGAAAUGUGUGGAGUUUGAAGCCUCCUGGCAGCCACAGGGAAGGGUGCAGAAGCCCCCAGAGCAAACUGGCCCAGGAAAUACCCUUCUUUUUGAAGAAAAGUAGUUGCUUCUUCUGUGUCACGUGACCCUUUCACCCUGACAUGCACAAUGCUACCUACCUAAGUGAACACCUUCUCACAGUGCCACUCCUGACUGGAGGGGCUUUUACCACUCUGUGUAUUCAUUUCGUUCAUGUCACUUGUUUUUCUGUCUGCUUAGGAGCUGUAUCUGAAUCUACUGAUAUUUUAGCUACUGUCUUUUCCUCAUGGCCUGAAGUCAGCACCCUGCUACCCAGACCGUGGCCUGGCAGGAUUUCUGUCCUGUUGGCACCAGCUGACCAACAAAUGUUGUCUUCAUCUAAGUUGUUCUGUUUACCAAUAAACUCAGGAGUCAGAUGUUGGGGUGGAAACCUGCUAGAUCAGAGGAGCCAAGAAGCAACCAGCUCACCUUCCUUUUCGGCCAGAGGCGAAGCAAGAAAAGUGUCUCUACUUAUCCCAAACCAAAAAGUCCUCGAAUCUCUAAGUCCCUUCCUCUCAUUCCUGUGUCUCUCUAUCCAUAUUGCUGGGUCCUCCAUACUCUCUAUGGCUCAUUCUUGUCAACUAGUCACUGGCUCUACCCACUGAUCCAAGGUUAAUUUUAUUAACAAUCGGCCUUGGACUUUCACUGUACAGUCGAAUAUCCAAAAACACACUGUGAUUAGAAAUAUCCAAUAGGGGCUGAGGGAUAGCUCAGCAGUAAAGGGCUAGGCUCACAACCUACCAGCCAUGCCCCACCUUCUAAAGGUCCCAUAGUCUUCAAAAUGGUACCGCAAGCCAAGCAAGGUACAUUACUCUCUGAGAGGAUGUUCCCUAGAAAUACUGUCAGAUUCUUCUAGAAGUUUGAGUCUGGAGACUGUGACUGAAUUUGUUUCCUGACCUCCUCACUCCCUCUGGAUUUACCAGGUAACCUGGGAUCUGAACCAGUCCAUCCAACACAUAACUACAGCUGAGGCUGCCAUAGGAACAUAUGUUUGCUUCCUGUCACAUUUAACCAAAGCUUGUCCACAUAAAGUGUUUCCUGGCUCUGUUACCCUGUACAGGUUGCUUAACUUCUCUGAGUCCUAAUACCUCUCUGUAUCAAAUGAAGCUAAUGCUAUCCUUCAGAAAGGUCCAUGGGAAUGAAUGUGCUAUGGUACCUCAACACUCAUGACCUCACUUGGUCCAGGGUCCCUUUCCUUCACGUGAAGAUAGCAACUGCAUGAUGGGUAGGAGGGAGCUAGUGUCACAAGACAUAUUUGGCUGAUUUCAUUCGGGGUUCUAUAAAAAGGUUAAAUUUAGUUCAGAUGUAAAUUUAGCAAAUAGGUGUGAUUUGGGGUCUUAUCCCAUCCCCCUUUCUGUUUAUGGCUUGGUUCAGUCUCUGUUGCCCAAAGCAAUCAUCCACAUAGCACUAAUUAAGACAUCUGUGGAGCUCCCAAAAGUGAAAUUCCAAAACCCAGAUGCCUGCCAAAGCUUACUGGAAUUUAUCACAUUUUUUUUACAUGCUUGGUACCACCCAGUACAGCACUAGCCCUUUAUGGCAGUGGGCAGCCUGAUCAUGGAGUGCUCUGCCAGUGGCAUUCCCAGUGCCAUGCUACUAACUCUGAGCCUUUCCCCAGUUUCUUGGUCCCUAAGGAGGAAAAUAAACCUGAUUUAAUCAUUUUUGCUACGAGGAAAGGGCUUAGGAAAAAUAAAGUUGAGGUAGAUGGAUGCACCUGCCGUGGUCUUAUGAAGGCUGAAAUCUGUCUCUUCAAGUCAGACCCUGGAUCUCGGCUCCUCACUCUGUCUUUGUCUGUUCUGGAGCCACUGUCCUUCCUAACAGUUCUGUAAGAAGCCUCCUCUGUAGCUCAUGUUCUAUACCUUCUUCUCCUCCCACACACUUCCCAGGACAACCUGAUGCAGACUGGGGUAUGAAAGGGAAAGGAGAAAGUGCAUAGUCACAGAUGAAAAGUGAUGGAUGAGAGCAAGUGAGGCAGUGGACACAAAGCACGAGAAAGAUGUCGUAGAGAGAUAUCCACCCUGCCCACACCUGUGGUGCUGACCAUGUCUGUUUGAGCGUGGUCACAGGUUCAGACGUGACGGACGGUGGUUUUAGGUCUGGGGUCGGGGACAAGCUGCUCUCUCUUCCUUCCAGUAGGGUCACAGAGAGCAGCCUGGGUGAAUCCUUGGAGUGGGAACUUGCAUCCAUGCAUCCAUAUCUGGCACCCAACGUGUGGCUCGAACCCACAACCCUGGGAUUAAAAGUCCCAAGCUCUCCCGAUUGAGCUAGCUGGGCUGUUACUAUUUGACCCGUGACACCUCCAGGCUCGAAUCUUUUCAAGACUGAAGCCUGGUUGACAGAGGUAUGUCAGUAGAUGGUUAGCCUAUGAAGGUCAGACCUGCUUCUCUGUUUCACUGGCUUGCUAGCUCUACUUCCUGGUCAGUUGACAUUCUAGCAAGCCUCUGUCACAUGUGUCUGCCGUCCCACCAAGGUGAACAAAAAGCUUUCUGAAACCGUGGGUCCGAAUGCCUAUGUCCUCCCUUCAAUUGUCUCUGUCAGGUAUUUUGUGGCCUUGAUGAGAAAAGUAACUACUCCAUAUUUAGAGGCUUCAGGGGAUUCUGGGAUGUUUUAUAUCAAAUCUUCGUAACAAAAUGAUGUGUGGUGCCUAUGUCAUAAGAAUCAGGUACUUGAGAGGUUGCAGGAUAUGUGUGUUUAUAAGUUUGAAAUAUCUUAUUGAAAAGCUUUAUUUUGAAAUGACUUUGGGAAGAGGAAGAGGUUGAACUUUAAAAAAAAUUGUGUCAUAUCUUUGCUAGCACAGGCAGCUUGCUCUAUGUCAUGGGAAUAUUGAAAUAUACCCUUGAUUUGAGUGGCCGAAUGACUGAGUACACCACUGAGAUAAAAUUUGAAAUCACUCCCCCACCCAUAAGCAAAUUAUACCUUUAACCCAUGGACAUAUUGCAACAAGUGAAACCCAGCUGCCUGCCAGAGCAUUCUGGAAUGUGAAGUGUUAGACCCUGGUCAAAGUUUCAGGACACUUGCACUUCUUUUGGGGUGAUAGUUUUUAUUAAUUCCUUCCAGAUUACUUUUCAAGCUUGUCCCCAGGGGAGAAGAGUAUUUGUGUAGUUGCUGCCCACAUGCCAACUCUCCUUUGUGAUCCAUAACAACGUAAAGCUUGUUGGAUUGUCUCCCAGGUUCUAGAAGGAUGCCAUGUCACGAGUGGCCCUUCACAAUUAGCCUUGUUUGUGGGGACCAUGUAAGUGUUCUCAGACCCUGAUCUCAGGGUCCUCCAUGGAUUUCUGAUGAUGGUCUGUGGGCACCAGGGAGGGGCAGGGUAGUGAGUUCAUGUCCAGUGGCAUAGGGAAGCUCUAAUUCAUAUCCAAGGUGGUCAAGGACUAAGGGAGCACUAUUUAUGGAGCCUUGAACCCCUUCAUUAUGAGACAGUGCCAUUCAGAUGUCUUUUUUGGGUGUGUGUUGAGGUAUGUAAUUAGCCUGCCCUUGGCUUUGAGCUUUCAGAACACGGAGAGGCUCACACACGAGGAUCUCACACAUCUAGCUACACUGUCUGAUUCUGGGAAAAGUGACAGGGUGACCUUAGCUAGUCUUCCCAGACUUGACCCAGACAAAACCAAGGGGUCUGAGUCCGGGUGAAACUCAGAAGCCAGGGAUAGACAUCUUGGAAGGACUUUUUUCAGUCUUCUCUGUGUGGUGAUGUACUACACCAAAUGUUACUGAGUAAAUGGAAGAGCUCUCUGUGGUUAAAGCUGCAAUGGUCAGGACAACAAAACAAAACAGUCAAUUCUGUAUGGCUCAGAGUACAGAAGGGAUAUUCACAAGUUCACACAGAUGCAAAUAAAUGAUCAAUAAAUUAAUACGUGGAAAGAAGAGGCCAAUCUCCUAAAGAGAAAAAUUCCAAGAAUUCGUGUUGAUAACUACUUUAAAAUGGAUGGAAUAUAACUCCUUGUUCCUCAGAUGUAAGUUACAGGCUUAGGUGACUUCAUGGUGGUAUGAAUGUCACAUUGCAUGCUUGUACAAAACCUAGGUGGUCUAGCCUACAACAGACAACAUGUCCAGGCUACAAAGUAUACACCAUUGUAUGGGUAGGUUAUUGACUGAAUGCUAUUGUGUAACAUGUGACAAACCUUUCCACACAUUCUUGAAUGAAUUCACAUAUUUCCUCAGAUGCUUCACACAGGUUCUGGGACAUUAACUUUCAAAACCUUUUUGGUAGCCUCUGUAUGAGGAAGAUCCUGGCCAUGAGUCUUCUUUAGGUUAGGGUCACUUGAAAUGCAUGGUACCCAGGACCACAGGGUACCAUAUAGCUAUGCUGUCUGAAGUGGUGGCCCUAUGAAAACACUGAGAAUUUGGUGCUGACAGCAGAGAAAACACAUCACAUGUUAGAGCCUUAGUGUUAGUCCCUGCUAGUCAUUUUAUGCUGCUAGUGUUGAAUGGAUACUGUUUGAAUAUACUGGGUUAAAUAGAUUGUCAAGCUUAAAUCUUCCUACUUAUUUUUCUUCUUCUUUCUUCUCUUCCUCCUUCUCCUCUCACUUUCUGGGUUUAUUGAGACAGGAUCUCUUGUAGCCUGGGAUGGCCUCAAACUCAUUAUAUAGCUGAGGAUAACGAGUUCCUGAGCCGAAUUGCCUAGUUUAUGUGGUGCUGGACACCAACCCCAGGCUUUGAGGAUGCAAGAGCACAUAUGUCUUUCUAUUACAAAUACAGCUAAGGGGUGGGGUCAUAGUCCAGUAGUAGAAUGAUUCCCCUGUAUGUCUGAAGCCCUAGGUUCAAUUACAAGUACUACAAAAACACAGUAAAUGAUUCGGGAUGCAACGAAAGCAAUCCUGAAAGAUAAUUUUAUAGCUACAUUAAAAUAAUCAGAAAGCUGCCAAAUAAAUAACUUGACAGUGUAAUUUAGAGUCUUGUGAUAAUGUGAGCAAGCCAAACUAAAAGACAAUGAGUGGAAAGAACCAAGGCAGGGCAAGAAUUAAUGAAAUAAAAACAAAAAACAAUACAAAGAGUCAAUGAAACAAAAUAGUUGGUUCUUUGACACAGUAAGCAAAAUUGACAAAACUUUAGUGAAAUGAACCAAAAGAAAGUGAAGACCCAAAUUAAUAAAAUUAGAGGUGAAAAAAUGAGACAUCAAUGAAAUUCAGAAAAUUAUUAGGAUUUCUUUGUAACUAAAACUAGAUGAAGACACAAGAAAUAAAUUACAGAUUUAUAUCUUUGAUGAGAAUAGGUGUAAAUUUUCCCAAUAAAA